UCUGCAAGAGCAACAAGUGCUGUUAGCCACUGUGCAGCCUCUCCGGAUCCACCAACCCAGUCUUACUCACCUGGGAGUGCACUAGGAGCGGCCCUCCUGGUGCCCGAAGGCAGUUGGCUACAGGCGGCUGGCUCCCGGGGCUUGCCUGAAGGAAGAUGUUGGAAGUGGAUGCAAAUGAGAGCCGCUCUCUCUGGAGCAGAAAGGAACCUUCAGGAACCAGUCAGGCAGAGCUGUUGUGAGGACAGCACUUAGCUGGUCGGUCGGACCAGCGUCGCUGUGCAGAUUUCAGUCACUUCCUGGAAACACUGGUGUCUGUUCCCAACUGUGCACCACAACGGGAAGCAAACAAGACAACUGCAGAAUAAGGAACCUGAGGCUCUGAGAUUGGGACACAGAAGUACAUGAACAAAACAACUGUGUUUCAGAGUGCCUCUGGCCGGGUUUCUCCUUCCUAGACCUGCCCACCGGCUGCGUGGUUUUGUGGCGGUGCCGUGGCUGCCGUGGCCCUCUGCUCACUCGACGUCAGAAACCAAGGGCCGGAGUCCUUGCUUGCUCCCUGGUCCAGAUGAGAUAGGCUGAGCCCUCCACAAAAGCCUCCUGAUGUCGCGAAGGAUGAGAGAGAAGCAAGCUUGGCUUGGCGUGCAAGCUGAGGUGACUGACAACUGGUCCAUUCCAGGCUUACUUCCUGAGACAACUGGGACUGGCAUGCAGCGGAGAUGAACAAGCGCCAGGCGCUCUGCCAGCAGAUAUCCCCCCGCUUCGUCACUGAAGGCUUUGGAAGUCGCUCGUGCACAUGGCAGGCAACUUUGUCAGCUUUUGUUUGUUGUGCAGCCCACACCAGCUGGUGAGCUGCUACUGCCGCGCCUCCCCUCCCGUCCUUCUGGGCUCUGGAAUCUCGGCUCGCUCACGUGUUGCCACAAACAAAACGCAUCGCCCCCGAGGAGCGUCCUACCCCGUCUCAAUGGUUCCUCUUUUUAGAGAGAUCUUUGGGGGACAGUUGGAGGAUAUAGCUUGCCAUGGUGUUUGGACACUGGGCCUGCACUCUUGAGGAGGGGACACUGGACCUAAAAUACUCCAGGGUUGGGUAGCCCUAACUCAUGUAGUGAGAGCCUUGUUUCUCCGCCCCCUCCCUGACUUUGGUAUAUAUAUUGGUUUUUUUUCCUGGUUUAUAAACACAUCCUGAACAGGAAGUCACAGUUAGCUUCUCUUAAAUGUCACGCAUGGUAACAGUGAUGGACAGAACCCAGUGCUGGGAAAACAAGGACACUGUUCCUCCAGCCUCUAAGUUCAGUGUCCCAUCACAAAGUCAUAUCUGGGAGCGGGUGAGACUCAGACUCCAAGGCACACACCAGUGCUCUUGGGACGAUCUUGAUUUCUACAACAAUUCAGGGCACUGGCUCUCUUUGCAGUCACAUGCCUGGGGCCGUGGUGUUGUAGAGGACCCCGGGGGCGUGGCUCAGAAAAUACCAUGGCUGCACCCAUGUGUUCUUUGUGAUUAGGCUAAGAAGGAGUGAUUCCCAACUCUGGCAAACAUAACAUUCAGAUACCCAUUGGCUCACAUCUGAUAAUUCAAGCUUGAUCACAAUGAGCUACUUCCAAAGCGAAAUAAUGGAGCGGAACUCUCAGCCGGGGAACCUUCCCCUCCAUAUGGUUCACAAGUUCCCUAGGAUGUGUAAUCCUACUGGGAGCGCCAUCUGUGUAGACUCCGCUCAGGCUCCUUGAUGUUCACUCUGUCUUAGACUGCAUUUUCCAGCAAAUAUACUCAGACUGAAGGCCAUGUGCCAGUCUACCUGUUCCCCCGCCACUAAUUCUAGCAACGUGUGGCUUUGACCUUUGAAGGGCAUCAUUUCAGGGCAGAUUCCUCAAAAUGGCAUAUCCUCUGCCUUAUCAAGGACCCACUGUGAGUUUCCUUUCUGCAUCUGAGUAAGUUUUACGGAUAAUCAGACACACAUUGAUGGUAAGCUCACCUUAUCUCCCCUGCUGGAGUGAAACCUUUGGAACUAAGGCAGAUCUUCUCACUGUGGGCCGCUGGAGUGUCCGGUACUGGGGAUCAGUUAAGAUCUUCACCAGAAGCAAACAAUGGGCCAACCAGAGGAAAUUACAGAAAUGGUAUCCAGCACAGAGGAAAACUUUAGGAAGGUGGAAGAGGAAUAUUGAGGUGAUUUUCCAAGUAACGUCCCCCAAACAGUCUGGCUGCUUGCAUUGAAACCUAGGAUUCGGCUCUAGUAGCGCCCGCGGCCAUUGUGUGGCAGGGAGCAGCUGCCCUCUGCCUGGAGGGAUUUGUGCACACAGCACCAUCUCGCACCCCUCUCUUGUACUCUGUUAGCCCCUUGUUGGCUAGACAGUGUGAUCUCCUGCGUUUAGACAAGUCGCAUCCCUGAGCUCAGGUACAAGGGAGCCUGGCACUGUGAACAUCUAGAAGCUUCUACUUCUAAAGAGGAGAACAAAAUUUAUGAAGUGAGAUUUGGAUGCCAGACUGACAACCUUUCCACCACACAUGUUGUGUCUUAUGUAUUGCUGCUUACCUGCGUAAAAUGAUGAGGAAUAUUUGUUUGAGGGUGAUUAGGAUGUGCCUGUGUGGAUGAAAGUAGGGCAUGCUGUAUAUAGUUGUUACCCAGUGUUGCUACAAAUAACGUCUCAGUGAUAUCAGAAGCAAAGUGGCAGCAAUCUGACAAGGGACUCAAGCAAAUGCCCUUGGAAAGGAUCUGCAGAUCUUAAGAUACAAAAAUAGUUCAACACACACAUUGAAAGGAAGAAACAGACUGUCUGUAGCUUGUGACAGAAUCACCAAGCAGCCUGACCAUAUCUGGUAGCAGGAGUGGAGGUAAGCCUUCACACGAGCAACAUCCUGCACAGCUCUCGUUUCCCAGUCAAGGGUCCAGCAGAUCUCAUCUAAUGUGAGAUGCUCAGCCAGGUGGGACAUCAACUUCAGUUGUCGCGGCAUCUUCUCAGUUUGAAGCAAUCCAUGAUCCCAUCGGUCCAUCAUUCCAUCGCUCUCACAUGCUAAACAGAGUGCAACAAUUCCUGUCCCUGCUUCCACCAAAGGUCUUGCCGCCCUGUGAUCGGCCUUACACACAGGAUCACGCGUGAGGAAGCCGUAGCAAGCCUAAAGCUGCUCAUGCCUGCUCGCUUUCCAUUCUGAUGUUUUGGAUACCUGCGCAUGGCUUUAUUUUUAAGAAGGGGUGGGGAGGGGACAGGAAGUAAUGCUGCGAAGCGAAGGAGCAAACAAAAACCAGUGAAGCAGCAGGUUUGAGGGGAGAGUUCACAGAACAGAAGAAACCGUACAGAUGUUACUGUCUGUGUCUGUCCAUCUCCCUGUUCAGCAGGAGUCAGUUUCCUGCCUCUUCCCUCAAUGCUCUUGGCUCUUCUGAGGAGGAGGAAAGAGAGGAGUCAUGGCAGUCAGUGGGAGAAGUCACAAAGCCUAGGGGGGACUUGAGAAAGGUAAGAGUCACUGCUGCGAGCAGCUGUGGUGGACACCUGCCUGCCAAUGAAAGAACUCCGUCCCACACCUCUGUUGGCAGUGUCAUUGACGUCCCUUUCCUACCUUCUUGAUGCCUGAGCAUUCUUCAAAACCCGGAUCAAGUAGACCUUUGCAUAGAAUCCUUCUAGACAGCGUGGCAUAGGAAUGCUGUCUCUGCCUAGGCACCUGCUCAUGGUCCCUGGUAUCCUGCAAAGAUGACCGCAGGUGCCUCUUCUACUAGAUGAGCAAACUAACGAGCAGUAACAGAGGUAGCAGAGCCAAAGUGCUGCCCUUCCGCCAGGAAAAGACACACAGAGCAUCAGUAUAUAGAUGAUAUAGGUACACAUGUGAGUGAUAUACAGAGAGGUAUUGUUAUAGAUGCAGAUUAUAUAUAGUACAUUCAUAUAUGUCACAUGUGCAUGCAUAAUACAUACACAUGUAGAGAGAGGACCUGGGCCUCUGUAUCUUAAUAGGGACUGCAGCAUGAUCUGGGGUCUAAGGUUGUCUCUCGUGGAUAAGGGCAGACUGCCGUGUGUUUCUCAUUUACCCCCAUGCAAUAGACACCCUGAGACAUGGACGCAGGCAGCCCUUCCCAAAAUGAGGAAACCAGGAAGCUCAAGGCUCACCAGGGGGCACAGUCCUGUGUUCCAGGGCAGCAUCAUUCAUGCAUGUGGCCCGCAUGAAUGAAAACUUUAAGAAGAGGUAUUAGGUAAGUUUAAAUGUGAUCACUGCUUUUGUAAAGCACUCUGAGAGAUUAGAUUCUUGGCAUGGUUAAAUGAAGUCUGCUGUCAUGCAGCUUGGGGGUUCAAAACAGACAGACAAUGCAACCUCAGACUGCCCUUGGGACCAUGGACCCAGAAGAGCUCUGAGUGUACCUGAUGGUUGUGCCCCAGCAUCAGAAAAGGGAUAAGACAAAUUACUCACAGUGUUGUUUCCUGUGUAAGCCUCAAUUUAAAAACCUCCUUAGGUUUUUUCCCAGGUGUGAUUUCUGCAACUGAAUUGACAAUAGAAAAUAUCAACAUGCGAUGUCCUGCUCUAGCAGGGAAAUAUUUCAAAAACAAAAACAAGCAAGCAAGCAAACAAACAAACAAAAAUCACUUUUUCUCCUCACCUCCAUCCUGAGCAAUUAUUGCCACUUUGUGACUUAGAACCAUCUUGUCACCUCCAUGUCAAACAGACAGGAAGCAGGACAGAAGUAUGCUCCAGUUGCUGGCCACCCCUUUUUCAUUUCGUGUUGAAGCAAAGAAUUCUCCUUCACACCAGUUUGCUUGUCCUGCCCUUGAUAUUAAAAUGGGGAUGCAACACUUCUUUACUGUGUGCAGCAAGGCUUGAGUGAAAUACUGAGCAUAAUUCUGUACCUAUCCCAAGCCCCAGCACCUGAAGGUGCUCAGGGAUAGGUAAGCAUUAAUUCUGUCUAUUUCUGUUCAAAUGCACUCUGUGCAUAACUGCCAUUUCAUACUUCUUAAUACGCAGAACAUCAUGCUAUAGCUUCACUCGGAAACACUGUUAGUUUUUACCCUGAAUGAGAUUUGGAAGUCUCACCCUAGGGCUGGCAAGAUGGCCUCUCAGGGAAAGGUUCCUGCUGCCAAGCCUGAUGAACUGACUUCACUCCCCAGAACCCACAGGAAGGAGAGAACUAACUCUCGCAAGUUAAAUUCUGACCUCCACACUUGGGCUAUGGCAUGUAUCUUGGGUUAUGGCAUGUAUC
Molecule: non-coding RNA, 5168 nt
Organism: Peromyscus maniculatus bairdii (prairie deer mouse)
Lineage: Eukaryota; Metazoa; Chordata; Mammalia; Rodentia; Cricetidae
Source: RefSeq, a predicted model, not a curated record